GGAGAGCUGAUGUAAUCCUUGCCCCUGUUAUGAAGCCUUGGCCUCUCUUCUGUUGGACAGAAUUGUUCUUUGGAAAGUAGAAUAGAUGAUGAAAGCUCAGUGGGGGAACACAAGAGGUAGUUAUAAGAGGCUGAAGUAAAAGAAAGUCAAGAAUAUGAACAAUUCUGAGCUGGUGCUUGUGAUGCCUGGAGAAAAGCACUUGAUGCAAAAGUUGCAGAGAACUUUUUGCUUUCCUCAUUAAUGUAUCGAAGAAGGAGUUUUUACUCAAAGGACACGUACAAAGAAGUCAGGUUGCUUGUUCUGUGGAACACGGAGUCAGAGGAGCAGAUGAAGAAGAAAGAAGUGUGAGCUUGUGUGUGUGUGGAUUCAUCUUGCCAUGGAUCAGGAGUUCACCUUGUGAGAGCUCGUGUGGACAGGUGCCAUUUAUGCUCACUGGAAGACAGCCGGAUCUGAGGCUCUGCAGAGUGAGCUCUCCAUCAGCUGCAUCAGGUGGACUUUGCAUGAUCUGAAUUGUUUUUCAGCUUACAGCAUAGUUGUUUGUCUUCUCUCAGUUGCUUGUAGAAGGCACUCGUUUCCCUGACACUCACGCCAAGGUCUAUCCACCCUGCAUGCCACCAGCAUGUGAAACCUGCAACUGAAGUGCAGUUCUGCUGCCAGAACUCUUGGGGGCAUCUUCCCACCAUUAAGACCUCCACUGCCUACCUAAAUUUUUCUUCUGUAUUGGAAGGAAAUGUAAUAGUUACCUCCAGCAGACCUGGAAGGAAUAUAUGAAAACUGGCUCGUUUUUUUUCAGAAACUGUAAUUGUGACAGCCUGCAUGGGAAGCUCCACUUGCAAAGAUGAAUGUUUCAUUA
Long non-coding RNA from Gallus gallus (chicken), 853 nucleotides. The record is from Ensembl. Lineage: Eukaryota; Metazoa; Chordata; Aves; Galliformes; Phasianidae.